Molecule: ribosomal RNA, 83 nt
Filed under: Microcebus murinus (gray mouse lemur)
Lineage: Eukaryota; Metazoa; Chordata; Mammalia; Primates; Cheirogaleidae
Source: RNAcentral
GCCUAUGGCCAUACCACCCUGAAUGUGCCCAGUCUCAUCUGAUCUUGGAAGCUGAGCAGCAUUAGGCCUGGUUAGCAUUUGCA